This is a long non-coding RNA of Neopsephotus bourkii (Bourke's parrot), 1320 nucleotides long. RefSeq lists it as uncharacterized. NCBI's taxonomy places the organism in Eukaryota, Metazoa, Chordata, Aves, Psittaciformes, Psittacidae. The record is from RefSeq and is a predicted model, not a curated record. The transcript is spliced from 2 exons.
CUCCUUGAGAGGGGUAGCAAGGGAGGUAAAAAUAUUUUGAAAACAAUAAUAUUUUCCUGGCACCUUAUUGUUGCUUAUUAUCCCCCUCAGAUCUCUCUGCAGACUCCUGCAAAGCCCAGCACAACCCAUAUAUCAUUGAGCACAGCACUGUAGGGAUGGCCAACAUGAGCAGCAGUCCACAGCACAGAGAAAGGGAGGCAGUCCCAGAGAGAGCAAGUAUGUGGAGUGGCAAGGAGAGUCCUUGCUUGACUCAAAAACAGCUGCAAAAUACUUCAGCCCUGCAGCACUUGGCUGCAGUUGAGGACAGCCUUCAGGAAUGUCUCACCAGGAGACCAGAGAGAAAGUCUGGAGAAAGGAAGUCCUUCCCUCGGUUGAGGAGGACUGGAUUAAGUAUACAUUAGACAAACUUGAUACCCACAAGUCCAUGGGCCCUGACAGGAUGCACCCACAAGAGCUGUGAGAGCUGGCAGAUGUCUUUGCUAGACUACUCUCUAUAAUCUUUGAAAGGUCAUGACAAUCAGGAAAUGUGCCAGAGGACUAGAAGAAAGCAAAUGUCACCCCAAGUCUUUAAAAAGGGCAAGAAGGAGGACCCUGGGAGCUACAGGCCAGCCAGCCUCACCUCAAUCCCUAGAGACGUGAUAGAACAGCUCAUCUGGAGGCCAUCUCUAAGCACAUGGAAGACAAGAAGGUAGGACUAGUCAGCAUGGAUUCACAUUUUAUUAUCAAAAUACAUGAGAUUCACAGAGUCAGUUCAUAAUCAGGAUUAGAGAUUAAAUGGGGACAGUCUGAUAAGGAUAGACUGUUUUCACCUAAGGCAGUUCUGUGAAGGAAACCUCUUUGUUUCAACCUUGAACAUUAUGCACCCAGUCCUAGACAAGUUUUCUGUCAAAUAGGUUUUCUGAAUGCAGAAAUCCAGACCUACAAAUAUCUGUUAUAUGGAAAUGCACACAUGUUUUGUACUGUACACAAUACUAGUUCCUUUUGUCUGUGAACAGACUACAGGAUCAUCUUUUUCGUCUGUUUUCUGCAACAAAAUAGUUUAAAGCCCAUGACUGCAGAAAUGUCAGAUGCCUGUGUAAGACAUCAUUAAUAUGUUGUAAUAAUUUCUGAAUAAGCAAGUCUAGUACAGAUAAAAUAAAAGGAAUCCACAAGAAGACUGAUAAGUGGUUUUAUAAGAACUAAAAAAAGAUGGUAUGCCAUUAUUCUGUGGUAAUCCUUACUACAGAUGAACCAGCAUAUUUGCGUUUUUGUGUGGAAUUACUUGCUGUACUGGUGACACAGUUUCAUGCAAAUACUUCAAUAAACUUUCAGCUUGAUUUA